RNAcentral lists this ribosomal RNA (492 nucleotides) under uncultured bacterium. RNAcentral's name for it is "partial 16S ribosomal RNA". It matches the Rfam family "Bacterial small subunit ribosomal RNA", at positions 29 to 507 of the family's 1533-position model. The record is from RNAcentral.
AGUGAACGCUGGCGGUAGGCCUAACACAUGCAAGUCGAACGGCAGCACAGUAAGAGCUUGCUCUUACGGGUGGCGAGUGGCGGACGGGUGAGGAAUACAUCGGCAUCUACUUUUUCGUGGGGGAUAACGUAGGGAAACUUACGCUAAUACCGCAUACGACCUACGGGUGAAAGCAGGGGAUCUUCGGACCUUGCGCGAUUGAAUGAGACGAUGUCGGAUUAGCUAGUUGGCGGGGUAAAGGCCCACCAAGGCGACGAUCCGUAGCUGGUCUGAGAGGAUGAUCAGCCACACUGGAACUGAGACACGGUCCAGACUCCUACGGGAGGCAGCAGUGGGGAAUAUUGGACAAUGGGCGCAAGCCUGAUCCAGCCAUGCCGCGUGGGUGAAGAAGGCCUUCGGGUUGUAAAGCCCUUUUGUUGGGAAAGAAAAGCAGCAUGUUAAUACCCCGCUGUUCUGACGGUACCCAAAGAAUAAGCACCGGCUAACUUCGUG